GUGGGUAGUUUGACUGGGGCGGUCUCCUCCCAAAGCGUAACGGAGGAGCACGAAGGUUAGCUAAUCCUGGUCGGACAUCAGGAGGUUAGUGCAAUGGCAUAAGCUAGCUUGACUGCGAGCGUGACGGCGCGAGCAGGUGCGAAAGCAGGUCAUAGUGAUCCGGUGGUUCUGAAUGGAAGGGCCAUCGCUCAACGGAUAAAAGGUACUCCGGGGAUAACAGGCUGAUACCGCCCAAGAGUUCAUAUCGACGGCGGUGUUUGGCACCUCGAUGUCGGCUCAUCACAUCCUGGGGCUGAAGUAGGUCCCAAGGGUAUGGCUGUUCGCCAUUUAAAGUGGUACGCGAGCUGGGUUUAGAACGUCGUGAGACAGUUCGGUCCCUAUCUGCCGUGGGCGCUGGAGAAUUGAGGGGGGCUGCUCCUAGUACGAGAGGACCGGAGUGGACGCAUCACUGGUGUUCGGGUUGUCAUGCCAAUGGCACUGCCCGGUAGCUAAAUGCGGAAGAGAUAAGUGCUGAAAGCAUCUAAGCACGAAACUUGCCCCGAGAUGAGUUCUCCCUGAGACUUUAAGU
This 568-nucleotide ribosomal RNA is filed under the name Klebsiella pneumoniae. RNAcentral describes it as "partial 23S ribosomal RNA". It matches the Rfam family "Bacterial large subunit ribosomal RNA", at positions 2261 to 2833 of the family's 2925-position model. RNAcentral also lists the same sequence under 3 other names. Lineage: Bacteria; Pseudomonadati; Pseudomonadota; Gammaproteobacteria; Enterobacterales; Enterobacteriaceae. The record is from RNAcentral.